RNAcentral lists this ribosomal RNA (433 nucleotides) under uncultured bacterium. RNAcentral's name for it is "partial 16S ribosomal RNA". It matches the Rfam family "Bacterial small subunit ribosomal RNA", at positions 29 to 507 of the family's 1533-position model. The record is from RNAcentral.
AACGAACGCUGGCGGCAUGCCUAACACAUGCAAGUCGAACGAGACCUUCGGGUCUAUUGGCGCACGGGUGCGUCACGCGUGGGAACCUGCCCUUAUGUUCGGAAUAACUCCCCGAAAGGGGUGCUAAUACCGGAUAAUGUCUUCGGCCCAAAGAUUUAUCGCCGUUGGAUGGGCCCGCGUUGGAUUAGCUAGUUGGUAGGGUAAAAGCCUACCAAGGCGAGGAUGCAUAGCUGGUCUGAGAGGAUGAGCAGCCACACUGGGACUGAGACACGGCCCAGACUCCUACGGGAGGGAGCAGUGGGGAAUAGUGGACAAUGGGCGAAAGCCUGAUCGAGCAAUGCCGCGUGAGUGAUGAAGGCCGUAGGGUUGUAAAGCGCUUUUACCCGGGAUGAUAAUGACAGUACCGGGAGAAUAAGCGCCGGCUAACUCCGUG